RNAcentral lists this ribosomal RNA (469 nucleotides) under uncultured Ochrobactrum sp. RNAcentral describes it as "bacterial SSU rRNA". It matches the Rfam family "Bacterial small subunit ribosomal RNA", at positions 916 to 1381 of the family's 1533-position model. The record is from RNAcentral. Lineage: Bacteria; Pseudomonadati; Pseudomonadota; Alphaproteobacteria; Hyphomicrobiales; Brucellaceae.
CGGGGCCCGGCACAAGCGAUGGAGCAUGUGGUUUAAUUCGAAGCAACGCGCAGAACCUUACCAGCCCUUGACAUACCGGUCGCGGACACAGAGAUGUGUCUUUCAGUUCGGCUGGACCGGAUACAGGUGCUGCAUGGCUGUCGUCAGCUCGUGUCGUGAGAUGUUGGGUUAAGUCCCGCAACGAGCGCAACCCUCGCCCUUAGUUGCCAGCAUUUAGUUGGGCACUCUAAGGGGACUGCCGGUGAUAAGCCGAGAGGAAGGUGGGGAUGACGUCAAGUCCUCAUGGCCCUUACGGGCUGGGCUACACACGUGCUACAAUGGUGGUGACAGUGGGCAGCGAGCACGCGAGUGUGAGCUAAUCUCCAAAAGCCAUCUCAGUUCGGAUUGCACUCUGCAACUCGAGUGCAUGAAGUUGGAAUCGCUAGUAAUCGCGGAUCAGCAUGCCGCGGUGAAUGCGUUCCCGGGCCUU